Rhipicephalus sanguineus (brown dog tick) is the source of this 539-nucleotide long non-coding RNA. RefSeq lists it as uncharacterized. The transcript is spliced from 4 exons. The record is from RefSeq and is a predicted model, not a curated record. Lineage: Eukaryota; Metazoa; Arthropoda; Arachnida; Ixodida; Ixodidae.
CGUGAGCGUUGGUUCUCGGGUGUCGGAUCGUCAAAAGGAGCUUCUGCUGGCUUUUGUGAAAGAGCACCCACAGAUCGCGAGUCUGUCGUGCCCGCUGGAGCCGUCGUUCACGAGGGAGGACCGGGACGACAUGUGGCAGGAGCUAGUAGCGCUUUUGAACGAAGAAGUCCCUGCGCGUAACACCAGGGCCCAGUGGCAAGCCCGAUGGAGGAAUGAGCGCUACUAUUCGCAGCAGGGUCUUGCCAAACUCCGAGGGCAGCAGAGCAGCACCCGAGGCGGCCAGAUUUCGGAUUACCGUGGCCGCGUCGUGCUUGACAGGGACGAGUGUGCGAGGCCCAUAGUUCGGGUGGUCUGAAUCGGUGAGCCCUGCUCCAGCUGCUACUGGUGUGGCUGAAGAGGAUGUGGCCCAGGAUCUUUCCCGUGCCCCAACUCCUCAUGCCGCAGCUGCGAGAUGGGGGCAACCGGCAGGCCGAGGCACUGGAGUUACUAGCCGCAAACACCAGGCGGCAGGGCCAGGCAUCAUUGGAAAGCUGCGCCAG